GGGUUCGAUUAUGGCUCAGGAUGAACGCUGGCGGCGUGCUUAACACAUGCAAGUCGAACGAACCUUCGGGUUAGUGGCGGACGGGUGAGUAACGCGUGGGAAUCUGCCCUCAGGAGGGGGAUAACGGCCGGAAACGGCCGCUAAUACCCCAUAUGCCGAGAGGUGAAAUGAAUUUCGCCUGAGGAUGAGCCCGCGUCUGAUUAGCUAGUUGGUGAGGUAAGAGCUCACCAAGGCAUCGAUCAGUAGCUGGUCUGAGAGGAUGAUCAGCCACACUGGGACUGAGACACGGCCCAGACUCCUACGGGAGGCAGCAGUGGGGAAUUUUCCGCAAUGGGCGAAAGCCUGACGGAGCAACGCCGCGUGAGGGAUGAAGGCCUCUGGGCUGUAAACCUCUUUUAUCAAGGAAGAAGAUCUGACGGUACUUGAUGAAUAAGCCACGGCUAAUUCCGUGC
Molecule: ribosomal RNA, 452 nt
Filed under: uncultured bacterium
Lineage: Bacteria
Description: bacterial SSU rRNA
Rfam family: Bacterial small subunit ribosomal RNA
Source: RNAcentral